UUUAACUGAGCGUUCAGUUACUUGACGUAGACCCGAAACCGGGCGACCUACCCAUGAGCAGGAUGAAGCGAAAGUAAAAUUUCGUGGAGGUCCGAACCCACGAGCGUUGAAAAGCUCGGGGAUGACUUGUGGGUAGCGGUGAAAUUCCAAUCGAGCCCGGAGAUAGCUGGUUCUCCCCGAAAUAGCUUUAGGGCUAGCCUCAAGGUGAGAGAUACGGAGGUAGAGCACUGAAUGUCCUAGGGGGUAUUGCACCUACCGAAGACUAUCAAACUCCGAAUGCCGUCAUCUUAUACUUGGGAGUCAGACUGUGGGUGAUAAGAUUCAUAGUCGAAAGGGCAACAGCCCAGAUCGUCAGCUAAGGUCCCUAAAUGUAAGUUAAGUGGUAAAGGAUGUGGGAUUGCACAGACAACCAGGAUGUUGGCUUAGAAGCAGCCACUCAUUCAAAGAGUGCGUAAUAGCUCACUGGUCGAGUGAUCCUGCGCCGAAGAUUUCCGGGGCUAAAACUUACUACCGAAGCUACGGCAUCAGUAAUGAUGGGUAGGGGAGCUUCCCAUACGGGUUGAAGCAUGACCGUAAGGACAUGUGGACAGUAUGGGAGUGAGAAUGUUGGCAUGAGUAGCGAGAUGUGGGUGAGAAUCCCACAGGCCGUAAACCCAAGGUUUCCAGGGGAAGGUUCGUCCGCCCUGGGUUAGUCGGGACCUAAGCUGAGGCCGAAAGGCGUAGGUGAUGGACAACAGGUUGAUAUUCCUGUACUACCGAUAACCGUUUGAGAGAUGGGAUGACACAGUAGGAUAAGCUAAGCACACUGUUGGUUAUGUGUGCCCAAGCAUUGAGGCAGUCAAAGUAGGUAAAUCCGCUUUGAUAAUGCUGGGAUGUGAUGGGGAGCGAAAUUUAGUAGCGAAGUAGCUGAUUUCACACUGUCAAGAAAAGUCUCUAUCGAGGUUAAAGGUACCCGUACCGCAAACCGACACAGGUGGGUGAGGAGAGUAUCCUAAGGCCAGCGAGAGAACUGUUGUUAAGGAACUCGGCAAAAUGACCCCGUAACUUAGGGAUAAGGGGUGCCACCAUCAGGUGGCCGCAGAGAAUAGGCCCAAGCGACUGUUUACCAAAAACAUAGGUUUCUGCUAAGUCGCAAGACGAUGUAUAGGAGCUGACGCCUGCCCGGUGCUGGAAGGUUAAGGGGAUCUGUUAGAGCAAUCGAAGCAGUGAACUUAAGCCCCAGUAAACGGCGGCCGUAACUAUAACGGUCCUAAGGUAGCGAAAUUCCUUGUCGGGUAAGUUCCGACCCGCACGAAAGGCGUAACGAUUUGGGCACUGUCUCAACAACAGACUCGGUGAAAUUGUAAUUCCGGUGAAGAUGCCGGAUACCUGCGACAGGACGGAAAGACCCCAUGGAGCUUUACUGUAGCUUGACAUUGGGUCUUGGUACUACAUGUACAGGAUAGGUGGGAGGCUUUGAAACCAGGACGCCAGUUUUGGCGGAGCCAUCCUUGGGAUACCACCCUUGUAGUACUGGGACUCUAACCAUAGGCCAUGAAUCUGGUCUUGGGACACUGUCAGGUGGGCAGUUUGACUGGGGCGGUCGCCUCCCAAAAGGUAACGGAGGCGCUCAAAGGUUCUCUCAGUACGGUCGGAAAUCGUACGUAGAGUGUAAAGGCAAAAGAGAGCUUGAUUGCAAGACAUACAGGUCGAGCAAGGAUGAAAAUCGGACUUAGUGAUCCGGUGGUUCUGCGUGGAAGGGCCAUCGCUCAACGGAUAAAAGCUACCCUGGGGAUAACAGGCUUAUCUCCCCCAAGAGUCCACAUCGACGGGGAGGUUUGGCACCUCGAUGUCGGCUCAUCACAUCCUGGGGCUGUAGUAGGUCCCAAGGGUUGGGCUGUUCGCCCAUUAAAGUGGUACGCGAGCUGGGUUCAGAACGUCG
Molecule: ribosomal RNA, 1921 nt
Filed under: Clostridioides difficile
Lineage: Bacteria; Bacillati; Bacillota; Clostridia; Peptostreptococcales; Peptostreptococcaceae
Description: partial 23S ribosomal RNA
Rfam family: Bacterial large subunit ribosomal RNA
Source: RNAcentral